Long non-coding RNA from Carassius auratus (goldfish), 464 nucleotides. RefSeq lists it as uncharacterized. The transcript is spliced from 3 exons. The record is from RefSeq and is a predicted model, not a curated record. Lineage: Eukaryota; Metazoa; Chordata; Actinopteri; Cypriniformes; Cyprinidae.
GAUAAUUUAAUAACUGUGUUACAGAUUUGAUGUCAUCCAUGAUAGGUCUAGUAUGAUACUGUAUAACAGGUCAAAGGUCAUUCAAGGGAGUCACCUUCUAAAUCUUGGUCAUCACAAAGCUUUAAAUAACAGGUGUUUUGUAAAUAUGAUGAUUUUUGGGACUGAUUAUGAAACAAAUGAUUUGAUUUUAGCCUUAAUGUAAUACCAAGGAUUAAUUAUUAAAGAUGAAGAUUUUGUGCUGUUUUUUAUAAUAAUUGCUGAGUGCUGUUGAGAAGAGCUGCUGUUGAGUCUGAUAUCAGUGUAAUGAAGCACUGUGGUACACUUUUGGUGGAGGAACUAAACUGACCAUCAGAACUGGUCCCGCAGUGAAGCCCUCCGUGUCUCUGCUGCCUCCCUCUUCUCUGCAGAUCUCUGGAGACUCAGCCGCACUGCUCUGUCUGCUCAGCUCUUACUCUCCACAGGGG